Molecule: long non-coding RNA, 4002 nt
Filed under: Sus scrofa (pig)
Lineage: Eukaryota; Metazoa; Chordata; Mammalia; Artiodactyla; Suidae
Description: lncRNA (ENSSSCG00035025815.1)
Source: RNAcentral
CUUCAAUCUUUGUGUGGGUUGCCCCGUGUAGGUUUCUUGGCUCUGAGUCUUUCGAGUAGGGAGGCCUUCAUCCACCGGGCCUCACGGGGCCUACCCUUGCGGCACAAUCACAGAGCUCUCUGUCAUUGCCCCUGUGUGGUUGAGUGAGGUUGUGUGUGUGUGUGUGUGGGGGGGUGCGACAUUCGUGUUUGGCUUACAAUAACUACUCGGCGUUGCUUCUACGGUGGCUGUGGCUCGACCCCUGGCCUGGGAACUUCCAUAUGCCGCAGGUGCGGCCACUUGUUUUGCGCUCCCGCUCGCCUCCCCGGCCCGCCCCGGGCCCUUUCGCCUCGCCUUUUGCCCCGGCUCGCCCGCUGCCUUCCCCUGCCUCUCCUGAGCCCACCUCCCGCGCCCCGCACCCCCGACACCCCUCGCCCCGCACCCCACUCACACAUGCGCUCCCACGUGCCCCCCCGCAACCCUCACCCACGCUCUCAGACCUGGCAAUGCUUUCUCUAGCCUCAAAGCGACCGACCCACAACGGCCUCCACCUGCCCUAAGUGCUGCUGCCUGAGCUUGCUUGUGCGUUUACUGCUAUCCCUCCCUACCUACCCGUAGCCUUCUGUGCCUUGAUCCACAGUUGGGGAAGUAACCCAAAAUGGUAUCUACUCCUAGUCUCAAACGUUAUUGACUCUGCAGUUAUCAUAUCAGGUUAUGUUCCCCUGAAGGCUUUACCAUUAGUGCUUUUCACCCAGAAUCCCUGCUCCUAUUCCAUUCCUCAGAUUUUCUUCCUCUUUUCUUUCCUUCCUCUGCCACAGGCUUCCUCCAGUUGGUCAGUCUCUUCCUUCCAGUGAAAUGCCUCUGAAUUGUCGUUUUGUAUCUUCUUGCUCUGUCUGCCCUUUUCCCCAAACACAGGAAAGAUUUCGAGGCCCAUUCCUGGGAAAGAGGCCAGAGGGAGGGGAUUGUGUUAGAGGUGAAGAAAGCCUAGUGUUUAAGAAAAGUGUUUAAUAAAAUGCUUCCAUCCAACCAAUAUGUUACCCCCUCGUCCCUCUGUAAGGUAACAGAUUUAGGCUCUUCUCCAAGAGUUCCAGGAGUUUUUCUAUUUGUUUGGUUGUUUAGUUUCUCUUCCUUUGUAGGGUUGUUGGUUUGUUUGUUGUUUCGUUGUCAGGUGGCUAGUAAUGACCGAAUUGUGUUAGAAGCACAGCAUGUGAGAAUGGCACCUGAGCUUAGAGGUGUUGGAUCUUUCCGCUUUGUUCUCAUUCCUGUCACUGGAUGUCUGUGGCUUUUGUUUAAACUCUAGGUACUGUAGACUGUCUCCACUUGAGGGGCCCUUUGUAAAGGAUCUGGCGCCGCUGAUUUCCUAGGGACCUCAUGGAUGGUAGGACCCCAUCCUCUAGGGAGCUGAGAGAGUAUCCCCUAGAUAGGAAGUAAGGAAACUGAGCACAUCCCCCCUGCCCUGCUGCCUCNAACCCCCCCCCCCCCCCGCCACAAUCCUGGUUUUGGAGCCCAAGCUGUCAAAUUCAUUCCUUUUUCUUUUUCUUUCUUUCUUUUUUUUUUUUGUGUGUGUCUUUUUGCCAUUUCUUGGGCCUUUCCUGUGGCAUAUGGAGGCUCCCAGGCUAGGGGUCUAAUCGGAACUGUAGCCACCGGCCUACACCAGAGCCACAGCAACGCGGGAUCCGAUCCGCGUCUGCAACCUACACCACAGCUCACAGCACCACAGCUCACAGCAACGCCGGAUCGUUAACCCACUGAGCAGGGGCAGGGACCGAACCGGCAACCUCAUGGUUCCUAGUCGGAUUUGUUAACCACUGCGCCACGAUGGNUUUUUUUUUGUCUUUUUGCUAUUUCUUUGGGCCGCUCCCAAGGCAUAUGGAGGUUCCCAGGCCAGGGGUCGAAACGGAGCUGUAGCCACUGGCCUACGCCAGAGCCACAGCAACGCGGGAUCCGUAGAGACUUUCUAUACACUAGGAACAUUUGGAGCCUCUCAGGAGUAGGAAACCCCAUUUGCAGCAGCGUGGAAGAUCCAAAAUACUUUGCGAUCAAUUUAAGGAGAUAUUCAAAAACCUAUAGUAAUGAAUAUUUGAAAUGUACUCUACCUUAAUCAGAGUAACACUUAAGCAGUAUUAGAGUUGGUUCAAUGCCUCCAAUGAGUUCAUUACUUGUUAUAACAAGGUCUUUCAUACCCUUCCAAACAGGCCAAGAAUUUCAUGAGAAUUUUGGGGUAGGAAGGGGUCUUGUGUAAAAAUGAACAUUUGUAGUUGAUACUCUCUUUCUGAAUCUUCUUUGUCUAUGUAGUAUUAGGCAGGUCUUGUUUUCUUCUGCUUUCAUGAAGAUUUUUCCUUUGUGAAGUGUUCUGAAAGAAUUGUGUAUACUUGUCUGAUUGUCUGCUUUCAUCUUCUGAAUGUAAAUGCUGAUAAGACAAGGAAUUUGCUGGCUUUGCCACUACAACAGGACGAACACUUGGAUGAAUGAUAGAAUGAAUAAGAAAACUCCUGGGUAUAAUUCUCCUUUGCAGAUUACCACCUUUGGCUAACAGAGAAUGAGUUCAAAAUUCAGAUUAGAGGUCCUAUGAAUAAUAAUUAUGCCGUUUCUUUGUAAGGCAGUAUCUCCUGAGAUUGACCUUAGCAACUCCCAAUGCUGGGUGUGGGCCUCAUAUGUCACUAGGGCUCAGAUUGCACAAAUGACUCACCAAAAUCACAUAGACACCACACACACACACACACACACACCCCUACCCCUGAGGCCUCAAAUCAAGGUCUUUGUCUCCAGAAUAUAUAUGCCAAGAGGACACAUGCCUCUGUGUCCUAUCCGCCAGUAUACUCUGGAUAAAUAAUAUGCAUAUAUUUGUUGAAGAAAUAACUGAAGAAACUCCUGGAUACAAUUCUCUUUCUGGGACUAGGGCAAAUUCUAAAACAUAGCAGCUUCUAGCCUCUUGCCCUCUCUGGCUUGUCUGUUCUGGCAUCAGGAGAGGCCAGUGCUUUGCUCCUUCUCCCCUCCCCCCGACCCCUUCCCUGGAGCCUGGGUCCCCCAGCCUCUAGUCCAGGAGCUGCACCCUCAGCCCAGGCAGACUCUUCUCCCAGCUUCCGCCAAGGCUUCACAGGGACUAAGUUUCGGCUUCUUCAGCUUGGUGUCAGAAACCUGUUAGAAACUUGCAGAGUCUCAGCUCCCAGUGGGGCCGAACCAGAAGCCACAUUUGAGCACUGUCCCGGGGUCCCAUUAGCAUUUGAGGGCUCUGAGCUGCCUUUAUCAAGCAUUCCGAUUUCUAUUUUGCUGGGGAAAUACCUGGGCCUUGGGGCCCCAUCAGCCUACUGGUCCUCCUGAAGCACUGCGAUCUCUUACUGGCGGUUUUGAGAGCUGGCUUUGGAAAGAGAACCAACGUCAGGAUCCUGUGAGUCACCCACUUGGCAAACAUUUAUUAAGCACUUAUGAUGUGCAAGGCCCAUGACAGGUCCUGAGGACACAAACAUGAUUAACACAGUGUAUAUCUCCCCUGCUGAAAAAAGCAGAGACACAGACUCCAUAGGUUGAUAAUAAAUGCUAGUCAGAAAGAGCACUUCUGGUAACAAAGUGUGAUGAUGUUGAAUAGGGAUGCGGGUGUUUAGAAAGAGUGAUUCAGGAAGUUCUCGCAGAGGAGUAGGUGUUUUUUCUAAGUCCCAGAGGUGGAAUGAGGAGCCAGCUCUGUUCUGCAUUGCGUUGAAGUGGAGGAGAGGGUGGGGCAGGGUGAGCAAAUGAUUUUUCACCUGAGGAAAAACACAAGUAUGUAGACCCAGCCCCAGGAAAGACGACUUGCACUGGACGAAGGAGAGAGGUCUGCUUGUGGCUUGAGGGCACAAUGAAGAGGGAGAGACAAAAAAGAUGGAAUUCUCUGUCUUGGCACAACGGGAACCAGUCCAACUAGUAUCCAUGAGGAUGAGGGUUGGAUCCCUGGCCUUGCUUAGUGGAUCAGGGAUCUGGUGUUUCUGUGAGCUGCGGCUCAGAUUUGGUCCCUGGCCUGGGAACUUACCUGUGCUGAGGGUGCAGCCC